Molecule: long non-coding RNA, 471 nt
Filed under: Amborella trichopoda
Lineage: Eukaryota; Viridiplantae; Streptophyta; Magnoliopsida; Amborellales; Amborellaceae
Description: long non-coding RNA (ATRI_LNC003685)
Source: RNAcentral
GUACGUGGGAUUAAAAGUGCCGUAUAAAAUGAGUUAAACAUUACAAUAGUUAAAGUAUCGUAUAAAAUGGAAACAUUACGGUAGAAAGAAUGACGUAAAGAAAAUGUUAUCUAUUACGGUACUUAAAGUACCGUAAUACUACUUCAAGUUAUUACGGCAUUUUAAUUACUGUAAUACUACUUCAAGUUAUUACGAUAUUUUAAUUAUCGUAAAACUUAAUAUGAAAAAUAUGGUAAAACAACUAUUGCGAAGGUUAUUUUCGUAAAAAAUACUCUGAAAAUGAAUAAAAAGGGUGUAAACGAGGUUUUUGAAAGUUGGGUUUUUUUUUUUCCAAUUAAGCAAAAAUAUAGGUAUAUUUGUGAUAAUUACCCUAUAAAAUUUAAAGCGUAAAAAAUAGUGCAGAUAGAGCAGAUCUAUAAAAACUUGAUAAUUUUAAAAAUUGACGAUCCAAAAAAUACACUACAAGAUGCA